Molecule: ribosomal RNA, 450 nt
Filed under: uncultured bacterium
Lineage: Bacteria
Description: partial 16S ribosomal RNA
Rfam family: Bacterial small subunit ribosomal RNA
Source: RNAcentral
GCUAAGAAUCUUCCGCAAUGGGCGAAAGCCUGACGGAGCGACGCCGCGUGAACGAAGAAGGCCGUGAGGUUGUAAAGUUCUUUUCGGGAGGGGGAACAACCGUGGCAGGGAAUGGCCGCGGGAUGACGUGAAUCCCGGAAUAAGCCCCGGCUAACUACGUGCCAGCAGCCGCGGUAACACGUAGGGGGCGAGCGUUGUUCGGAAUCAUUGGGCGUAAAGGGCGUGCAGGCGGUCCUGCAAGUCCGGCGUGAAAGACCCCGGCCCCACCGGGGGGACGCGCUGGAAACUGCAGGGGUUGAGUACAGGAGGGGAUGCCGGAAUUCCAGGUGUAGGGGUGAAAUCUGUAGAUAUCUGGAAGAACACCAAUGGCGAAGGCAGGCAUCUGGCCAUGUACUGACGCUGAGACGCGAAGGUGCGGGGAGCAAACAGGUUUAGAAACCCGGGUAGUCC